UUCCUUAUAAAUGUCCCCCAUUAUCAGAAAAAUAAACAAGUACUUGUUAAAACAAAGUUUCUGGGUCUUUACAGUCAUUUUGCUUUUACUGUGUUACAGAUGUCAGAGAUGAAGCUGAUGAUAGAAGUGAUGAUGAUGAUGAAGAAGAAGACGUGAAAGAGCUGGAAGAACCUGCUAAUAAAGAGUAGGAGAAUGGAGAACCAAAAUGAAGAUGAAGAGUUUGCUGAUGAGGAGCAGGAGUCAGAGGUUCACCAUGAGACCAACAUUCUGAACAGAAAUGAGCAGGACGAAGCUGGACACUCUGUGCAUGAGGUCAACAGCCAAGGGGUGUCCACUGUGAGAAACAACGUACAGCUACCUCUACACCUGUGACAUCAUCAUCACAUCUCUGCUGAGGCUGCUCGCUGUUCUGGGAGCAGAAGGAGAAAAGAGAGGACUUUGACUCUCUGUCAUUCAUCGAGCUGCUUGUGGUGGAUCAUUCAGACAUCUUCCUCAUGGAGAACUGGGAACACGUCCUGCAAGUACACCUGCAUCUGUUGGAUUCUUUCUUAGUCGACUCAUCCAGAGGCAGGACGUGGAACCUGAACACUCGGGGCAGACGCUACAUGCAGACGCUGGUGUUCAGCUCCAUCCAGAACCCACAGAUUGAUAACACCUCACCAAACGUUGUUCCAACUACAGAGGACAGGUACACUCUGCUGUUCACUUUUUAUUGAAAGGAAAUAGAUUUUAUUUUAUUAAGAACUGUUUUUCAUUUGUACUGUCAUGAUGUGUGUUUGGCCUCAGA
RNAcentral lists this long non-coding RNA (787 nucleotides) under Oryzias javanicus (javanese ricefish). Its description in RNAcentral is "lncRNA (ENSOJAG00000007460.1)". The record is from RNAcentral. Lineage: Eukaryota; Metazoa; Chordata; Actinopteri; Beloniformes; Adrianichthyidae.